This 204-nucleotide long non-coding RNA is filed under the name Dendronephthya gigantea. Its description in RNAcentral is "uncharacterized LOC114541840". The record is from RNAcentral. Lineage: Eukaryota; Metazoa; Cnidaria; Anthozoa; Malacalcyonacea; Nephtheidae.
CAACGAGGCAAUGAAUGUUAUUCUUGUGUGCUUACAACAGAAAUUGGAAUUGGAGGUGUUGUAUGUUGUUCUGAGAAACUUUCCAGAGGCACUGCAAGAUAAAAACUUGAUACAUUCUUGAAAGCACUACUUGCGUUAAAUAUGUACAGUGUUAUCUAAAAUGGUUUGAAAUUAUGAUUUUCUUCCUGGAUUAUUUCGUGUUCC